UGGCGGGGCAGAGGCCAAGAACCACGUCCCGCACCGACGGGCACUGAAGGGGCGUGGGGGAGCCAGUGGUGCGACCGGCUACCGCUA
RNAcentral lists this non-coding RNA (87 nucleotides) under unclassified sequences. Its description in RNAcentral is "c-di-GMP sequence". It matches the Rfam family "c-di-GMP-II-GAG riboswitch aptamer". The record is from Rfam by way of RNAcentral.